CAAGUCACAAACAAUGAAAGAUAUGAAAGAAAUGCAUUACCAAUAAGCAUUGAUUUCAAUUACCAAUCAAGCAGAUCAUAUAUCAGUUCUUUUAACACAAGGCCAAGGAGUAGUCUCAUUGAAACUCAGGUAGCAUUGAUUUCAAUCACCAAUCAAGCAGAUCAUAUAUCAGUUCUUUUAACACAAGGCCAAGGAGUAGUCUCAUUGAAACUCAGGUCACAUGUGAUACCUAUAUUAUUGCUUUAUAAAGUUCUUGCACCUAGAAUCAUAGUGAGUAAAGGCGUUAUAAGGGAAUGAGGUAGACCCGAAAUCACAUGGAAGGAAGUUGUCUCAAAAGACCAACAAUUUCAUUAAA
This 355-nucleotide long non-coding RNA is filed under the name Nicotiana benthamiana. Its description in RNAcentral is "long non-coding RNA (NBEN_LNC029187)". Lineage: Eukaryota; Viridiplantae; Streptophyta; Magnoliopsida; Solanales; Solanaceae. The record is from RNAcentral.